UGGGGGAAGGGGCUUGUUUCAGCUCUGCCUGGGAGUUGCUUCUGAAUCACUUUCUUGCCUUCUCUGGUACUUGAAUAGUGCAGAUUAAGAUGUAGGAGUCCCAUCCUGUAGCGGGAGCCCAAAGAAACUAAGAUGGACUUGGUUCCAGGCUCUCUCAGGGUGAGUGGUGCUGGUACUGCUGCCCUGAAUUCCACAGCCAUGAAGGCUCCAUCCUGCCCAUUGUGUCUGUUUUGGCUCCACUCCGUAAUCUGGGGUUCUGAGUCUGCCCAGAAUAUUAAGAUCUCUUAGGCUCUUGCUUUUAGUACUUUGAUCUCCUUCAGAAGGGCAAGACUCCUCAAUUCAAGAGAGACAAAUCAUAUCAGAGACUAGAAAUAGUAGGCAGGUUACUUUCCCCUUGCCUGCCUAUUCCUCAUUUACCUACCAAGUGCUGUUCAGUUAGGGUCUCCUCAGAGAAGAAUGGCAGUGCACUGGGGACUACAGCCACCAGCCCAAGGAGGAACUGAUAGCUGAUAGAUCAAGGAUCAGAACAUUCUGGUCUUGGAAGAGAGGGGCUGAUGAGAAUCUAAGCUCAGGCUGGGCUCAUCAGGUUUGGGGACUGAACCCUUGCACUUGGUGUGGCCUGUUUCUUCCAGCCUGUCCACAAUCUGCUGCUUAAUCUUCAUGUCCCUUCCCUGAUGUCUGAUCUCUGCAUUAAAAAAGAGGCAGAUAUGUAAUGGUAAGAACAGACUAAAAAUAUGUUGUCCGGAAAUCUGGUUCAUGUUUAGUAUCAGUAAAACCUUUUGUGUAAAUAGCAUUUUGCAGUUGACAAAGGGCUUUCACAUUCUUUGUCUCAUUUGAUCCUCACAAAACCCCUGAAACAGUUAAUAG
RNAcentral lists this long non-coding RNA (867 nucleotides) under Marmota monax (woodchuck). Lineage: Eukaryota; Metazoa; Chordata; Mammalia; Rodentia; Sciuridae. The record is from RNAcentral.